RNAcentral lists this ribosomal RNA (253 nucleotides) under uncultured bacterium. RNAcentral's name for it is "partial 16S ribosomal RNA". It matches the Rfam family "Bacterial small subunit ribosomal RNA", at positions 524 to 776 of the family's 1533-position model. The record is from RNAcentral.
UACGAAGGGAGCUAGCGUUGUUCGGAAUCACUGGGCGUAAAGCGCACGUAGGCGGAUUUGUCAGUCAGGGGUGAAAUCCCGGGGCUCAACCUCGGAACUGCCUUUGAUACAGCAAGUCUUGAGUUCGAGAGAGGUGGGUGGAAUUCCUAGUGUAGAGGUGAAAUUCGUAGAUAUUAGGAAGAACACCGGUGGCGAAGGCGGCCCACUGGCUCGAUACUGACGCUGAGACGCGAAAGCGUGGGGAGCGAACAGG